RNAcentral lists this transfer RNA (70 nucleotides) under Marmota monax (woodchuck). Its description in RNAcentral is "tRNA.Ala". Lineage: Eukaryota; Metazoa; Chordata; Mammalia; Rodentia; Sciuridae. The record is from RNAcentral.
GGGCUGGGGCUCAGUGGUAGAGUGCUUACCUAGCAUGUGUGAGGCCCUGGGUUCAAUUCUCAGUACCACA